RNAcentral lists this ribosomal RNA (388 nucleotides) under uncultured bacterium. RNAcentral describes it as "bacterial SSU rRNA". It matches the Rfam family "Bacterial small subunit ribosomal RNA", at positions 28 to 417 of the family's 1533-position model. The record is from RNAcentral.
GACGAACGCUGGCGGCGUGCUUAACACAUGCAAGUCGAGCGGUAAGGCCCUUUCGGGGGUACACGAGCGGCGAACGGGUGAGUAACACGUGGGUGACCUGCCCUCAGCUCUGGGAUAAGCCUGGGAAACCGGGUCUAAUACUGGAUAUGACUCCAUGACGCAUGUUGUGGGGUGGAAAGCCUUGUGCGGCUGAGGAUGGGCCCGCGGCCUAUCAGCUUGUUGGUGGGGUGAUGGCCUACCAAGGCGACGACGGGUAGCCGGCCUGAGAGGGCGACCGGCCACACUGGGACUGAGACACGGCCCAGACUCCUACGGGAGGCAGCAGUGGGGAAUCUUGCGCAAUAGGCGAAAGCCUGACGCAGCGACGCCGCGUGAGGGAUGACGGCCU